AUUGAACGCUGGCGGCGUGCUUAACACAUGCAAGUCGUGCGGUAACAGGCGUAGCAAUACGUGCUGACGAGCGGCGAACGGGUGCGUAAUACAUGGGAAUCUGCCCUUUAGUGGGGAAUAACCCGGCGAAAGCCGGGCUAAUGCCGCAUAAGAUCUUCGGAUGAAAGCGGGGGAUCGUAAGACCUCGCGCUGUUGGAUGAGCCCAUGUCGGAUUAGCUAGNGGUGAGGUAACGGCUCACCAAGGCGACGAUCCGUAGCUGGUCCGAGAGGACGGCCAGCCACACUGGGACUGAGACACGGCCCAGACUCCUACGGGAGGCAGCAGGUGGGGAAUAUUGGACAAUGGGGAACCUGAUCCAGCGACGCCGCGUGUGU
RNAcentral lists this ribosomal RNA (375 nucleotides) under uncultured bacterium. RNAcentral's name for it is "bacterial SSU rRNA". It matches the Rfam family "Bacterial small subunit ribosomal RNA", at positions 30 to 406 of the family's 1533-position model. The record is from RNAcentral.